Molecule: ribosomal RNA, 844 nt
Filed under: Niphargus sp. NC630
Lineage: Eukaryota; Metazoa; Arthropoda; Malacostraca; Amphipoda; Niphargidae
Description: partial large subunit ribosomal RNA
Rfam family: Eukaryotic large subunit ribosomal RNA
Source: RNAcentral
GAAAAGCACUCUGAAGAGAGAGUCAAAAGACCGUGAAACCGCUCAGAGUAUAAGCCAAUGGAGCUUGGAAGGCUUCCGCAGUGUCGGCCAUCCAUGUGGUGUGUCGUGAGGCAUGUAGCGCGGUUCGUUGGGCGGAGCAUUGAGUUUGCCGACCAGCUUACGUGCGGGGAUUCGGUUUGGGGGUCUUAGGCUUCGGCCGAAGGGCUCCUGGCCGUUUCUUUUUGAAUGAACGUUCAGAGCUACUGUGUCCUAAUGCGGUUAUGCCCACCACGGCACGUUGUGAGGUCACCCACAGGCUCAAACUGCCGAUCGCGCAUCCAGGACGAUGGCAACGAUGCGUUGUUGAGCUCGAUCUUUGAGUGGAGCUGUCACGCGUGUCUAGUCCUGGGUCGGGCGGCGACCGAGAUAAACCUGGUAUGAUCCUCUUGCGACGAGCUGCUUUCUGGCCAGACCGACGUCCAGGCGCUUCCACUGUGCCGGAAGCGUCAAUCCCAGGCGGUUUGAACCCAGCUGCAUUCUGCAAGGUCUCUCAGCCGGGCGUUGGUCUGAGUGGUGUUAAGUCCAGCACCAUCGGUCACGUCUCGAAACACGGGCCAAGGAGUAUAGCAUGUGUGCAAGUCUAAGGGUCUCACAAAACCCGAAGGCGAAGUGAAAGCAAGACUGUGGCGGGGGAGCUACGGCGAACCCGCCGGCCUUGUGGCACACUCUGUGUGUUUGCUCGGCUUUUAGCAGAGCUGAUCCUGCUUCUCGGUUAAUUCUGGUGCAGGCGCAAGCUCCGGGCUCACGUACAACACUGGUCACCUCGUGUGGCUGUGUUGUGAGCACCGUGGAGCAUGCAUGCUAU